This 1190-nucleotide ribosomal RNA is filed under the name uncultured fungus. Its description in RNAcentral is "eukaryotic LSU rRNA". The stretch from base 558 to 1190 matches the Rfam family "Eukaryotic large subunit ribosomal RNA", at positions 1 to 649 of the family's 3401-position model. Lineage: Eukaryota; Fungi. The record is from RNAcentral.
AAGUCGUAACAAGGUUUCCGUAGGUGAACCUGCGGAAGGAUCAUUACUGAGAGAGGGGCCACGCGCUCCCGGGGGCUCCGGCCCCCACCUCUUCACCCCGUGCCUACCGUACCUCUGUUGCUUUGGCGGGCCUUGGAGCCCUUCGCCCAUGCCGGCUCCGGGUUUGAUCGCCUGGGCCGGCGAGCGCCCGCCGGAGGCCCUUACAACCCCGUCUACCAGUGAAGUCCGAGUCCAUAUCAAAUAACUAAAACUUUCAACAACGGAUCUCUUGGUUCUGGCAUCGAUGAAGAACGCAGCGAAAUGCGAUAAGUAAUGUGAAUUGCAGAAUUCAGUGAAUCAUCGAAUCUUUGAACGCACAUUGCGCCCCUCGGUAUUCCGGGGGGCAUGCCUGUUCGAGCGUCAUUGCACCCCUCAAGCGUAGCUUGGUCUUGGGUCUCGCCUCCCGGGGCGGCCCCGAAAAUCAGUGGCGGCCCGGUGUGGCUCUUGAGCGCAGUCAAUUCUCUCGCUCGAGCGGCUCGCACCCCGUGGCCGGCCGGCAUCGCCCACUUUCCAAUGAUUGACCUCGGAUCAGGUAGGGAUACCCGCUGAACUUAAGCAUAUCAAUAAGCGGAGGAAAAGAAACCAACAGGGAUUGCCUCAGUAACGGCGAGUGAAGCGGCAAGAGCUCAAAUUUGAAAUCUGGCCCCGUCGGGGUCCGAGUUGUAAUUUGCAGAGGGUGUUUCGGGCGCGGCGCCGGUCUAAGUCCCUUGGAACAGGGCGUCAUAGAGGGUGAGAAUCCCGUACGUGACUGGCGACCAACCUCAUGUGAAACCCCUUCGACGAGUCGAGUUGUUUGGGAAUGCAGCUCAAAAUGGGUGGUAAAUUUCAUCUAAAGCUAAAUACCGGCCAGAGACCGAUAGCGCACAAGUAGAGUGAUCGAAAGAUGAAAAGCACUUUGGAAAGAGAGUCAAACAGUACGUGAAAUUGUUGAAAGGGAAGCGCUUGCAACCAGACCUGUCCGUGGGCGAUCAGCCUCUGUUCUCAGGGGUGCACUCGUCCUCGAUCAGGCCAGCAUCGGUUCGGGCGGCGGGACAAAGGCCUUGGGAACGUAGCUCCUCUCGGGGAGUCUUAUAGCCCUCGGCGCAAUGCCGCCAGCCCGGACCGAGGACCGCGCUUCGGCUAGGAUGCUGGCGUAAUGGUUGUAAGCGACC